UACGAAGGGGGCUAGCGUUGCUCGGAAUCACUGGGCGUAAAGGGUGCGUAGGCGGGUCUUUUAAGUCAGGGGGUGAAAUCCCGGGGCUCAACCCCGGAACUGCCUUUGAUACUGGUAGUCUUGAGUUCGAGAGAGGUGAGUGGAAUUCCGAGUGUAGAGGUGGAAUUCGUAGAUAUUAGGAAGAACACCAGUGGCGAAGGCGGCUUACUGGUCCGGAACUGACGCUGAGGUGCGAAAGCGUGGGGAGCAAACAGG
RNAcentral lists this ribosomal RNA (255 nucleotides) under uncultured bacterium. RNAcentral's name for it is "partial 16S ribosomal RNA". It matches the Rfam family "Bacterial small subunit ribosomal RNA", at positions 524 to 776 of the family's 1533-position model. The record is from RNAcentral.